Molecule: small nucleolar RNA, 137 nt
Organism: Solanum verrucosum
Lineage: Eukaryota; Viridiplantae; Streptophyta; Magnoliopsida; Solanales; Solanaceae
Product: small nucleolar RNA snoR111
Exons: 1
Source: RefSeq, a predicted model, not a curated record
CUGAUCGAAUGAUGAACAAUUUUUCUGGUGUGUUUCAUCAUUUUAUAUGAAAUUACAGGAGGCAAAGUGAUAUUGGCGAGAUAUCGUUUCGAUCGUUAUUUUUUCCGGUUAACGAUUCGAUUGUUGCUCGUCUACAU